RNAcentral lists this ribosomal RNA (392 nucleotides) under uncultured bacterium. Its description in RNAcentral is "partial 16S ribosomal RNA". It matches the Rfam family "Bacterial small subunit ribosomal RNA", at positions 523 to 918 of the family's 1533-position model. The record is from RNAcentral.
AUACGGAGGAUCCGAGCGUUAUCCGGAUUUAUUGGGUUUAAAGGGUGCGCAGGCGGCCAUUUAAGUCAGCGGUUAAAUCGUGGGGCUCAACCCCAUUCUGCCGUUGAUACUGGGUGGCUUGAUUGCGGUCGAGGUUGGCGGAAUUCGUUGUGUAGCGGUGAAAUGCAUAGAUAUGACGAAGAACACCGAUUGCGUAGGCAGCUGACCAGAUCGCAAAUGACGCUCAUGCACGAAAGUGCGGGGAUCGAACAGGAUUAGAUACCCUGGUAGUCCGCACAGUAAACGAUGAAUACUUGUUUUCGGCGAUAUAAUGUCGGAGGCAAAGCGAAAGCGAUAAGUAUUCCACCUGGGGAGUACGCCGGCAACGGUGAAACUCAAAUGAAUCGACGGGG